AACUGCGAGUGAAGCGGGAAAAGCUCAAAUUUAAAAUCUGGUGGUCUUUGGCCAUCCGAGUUGUAAUUUAGAGAAGCGUCUUCCGCGCCAGACCGUGCACAAGUCUCCUGGAAUGGAGCGUCAUAGAGGGUGAGAAUCCCGUCUUUGGCACGGAACCCCUGGUGCUUCUGUGAUGCGCUCUCGAAGAGUCGAGUUGUUUGGGAAUGCAGCUCAAAAUGGGUGGUGAACUCCAUCUAAAGCUAAAUAUUGGCGAGAGACCGAUAGCGAACAAGUACCGUGAGGGAAAGAUGAAAAGCACUUUGGAAAGAGAGUGAAACAGUACGUGAAAUUGUUGAAAGGGAAACGCUUGGAGUCAGUCGCGUCGGCCAAGACUCAGCCUCGCCUCGGCUUGGUGUACUUCUUGGCAGACGGGCCAGCAUCAAUUUCGUCCCUCAGAUAAUGGCAAGGGAAAGGUGGCACCUUUGCGGGUGUGUUAUAGUCUCUUGUCGCAUGUGAGGGGUGGGAUUGAGGAACUCAGCACGCACCUUUUGGUGUCGGGGCUUUGGCCC
RNAcentral lists this ribosomal RNA (548 nucleotides) under Lactifluus orientivellereus. Its description in RNAcentral is "Lactifluus sp. 13 HL-2019 partial large subunit ribosomal RNA". It matches the Rfam family "Eukaryotic large subunit ribosomal RNA", at positions 85 to 640 of the family's 3401-position model. The record is from RNAcentral. Lineage: Eukaryota; Fungi; Basidiomycota; Agaricomycetes; Russulales; Russulaceae.